This 515-nucleotide ribosomal RNA is filed under the name uncultured Glomus. RNAcentral's name for it is "SSU rRNA". It matches the Rfam family "Eukaryotic small subunit ribosomal RNA", at positions 569 to 1085 of the family's 1831-position model. The record is from RNAcentral. Lineage: Eukaryota; Fungi; Glomeromycota; Glomeromycetes; Glomerales; Glomeraceae.
AGCAGCCGCGGUAAUUCCAGCUCCAAUAGCGUAUAUUAAAGUUGUUGCAGUUAAAAAGCUCGUAGUUGAAUUUCGGGGUCGGUAGGUUGGUCAUGCCUCAGGUAUGCACUGGUCUCACUGAUUCCUCCUUCCUGAUGAGCCGUAAUGCCAUUAAUUUGGUGUUGCGAGGAAUCUGGACUGUUACUUUGAAAAAAUUAGAGUGUUUAAAGCAAGCUAACGCUUGAAUACAUUAGCAUGGAAUAAUGGAAUAGGACGUUCGAUCCUAUUUUGUUGGUUUCUAGGAUUGACGUAAUGAUUAAUAGGGAUAGUUGGGGGCAUUAGUAUUCAAUUGUCAGAGGUGAAAUUCUUGGAUUUAUUGAAGACUAACUACUGCGAAAGCAUUUGCCAAGGAUGUUUUCAUUAAUCAAGAACGAAAGUUAGGGGAUCGAAGACGAUCAGAUACCGUCGUAGUCUUAACCAUAAACUAUGCCGACUAGGGAUCGGAUGAUGUUAAUUUUUAAUGUACCCAUUCGGCG